AUCGCUUCUCGGCCUUUUGGCUAAGAUCAAGUGUAGUAUCUGUUCUUAUCAGUUUAAAAUUAAAUUUUUUCUUACAACAAAAACUACAUUCAGUAAGUAUAGGUCAACAAUAAAACAAUAAUGUUGCAACCCUUU
Myotis lucifugus (little brown bat) is the source of this 135-nucleotide small nuclear RNA. Its record names the gene U2. It matches the Rfam family "U2 spliceosomal RNA". Rfam says of the family: U2 is a small nuclear RNA (snRNA) component of the spliceosome (involved in pre-mRNA splicing). Complementary binding between U2 snRNA (in an area lying towards the 5' end but 3' to hairpin I) and the branchpoint sequence (BPS) of the intron results the bulging out of an unpaired adenosine, on the BPS, which initiates a nucleophilic attack at the intronic 5' splice site, thus starting the first of two transesterification reactions that mediate splicing. The record is from Ensembl. Lineage: Eukaryota; Metazoa; Chordata; Mammalia; Chiroptera; Vespertilionidae.